Long non-coding RNA from Helianthus annuus (common sunflower), 841 nucleotides. RefSeq lists it as uncharacterized. Lineage: Eukaryota; Viridiplantae; Streptophyta; Magnoliopsida; Asterales; Asteraceae. The transcript has 5 exons. The record is from RefSeq and is a predicted model, not a curated record.
AUGUGAUUUGGGCUAGGUGGCAUUGGAUUUGGGACAUUUUUGCUGAUGUGGCAACUUAUAUUUUUGAGUUUAGGAGGGAAUUCUCAAAUGCCUUCAUCAUUCACGAUUUUAACAAAAAAGUGGCGGGAUCCGGCUGUGAUUCGGGUCACCCAAUAUUAAAAAACGGAUCCUAUAUAUCAUCUUUACCAGACCACCAUAUCUCAUAACCUCACUUUUCACAAACCCUACAUACCAUUUCCUAAAUCUGCUUCUUCGUUUUUCAGAGAUUCAUCGUCCUUAGGUAUGUUAUUAUGCCAUUCCUUCUUUGUUUUCGUAUUGUUAAUCUAAUACAUCUUUGAUUUUUUUCGAUUUCAUCAACUAUCUUACAUAUUCAGAUGAGAUUCAUAAGGACGACAAUGUUUUGAUGCUUUCUUCAUCUUCAUGUAAAUGCUAUUUGUUUCAUGUUUCCAGAUUUGAAGAGAUCGAUUUGUUUGCUGUUUAAUAAUGAUUUACGAUGUGUUUUGUCAUAUCUAGGAUUUGCUUGUGGUCUUUCGUAUCCGUCAAAACCCUAAUCGACCGGAGAAAUCGUCAAAAGUUCUUCACAAUAUGAUCGUUCCACAUAAUUUGCAGAUAUGCAUCCCUUGCACAACAGUCCUUCAUUUUUAAAGCUUAUUGAUAAAGAUGACCCGAUAUUUUUGGUGAAGAGCUUCUUUCAGACUCCUUCCCCUACAAGGAACUAUUGAAUGGGUUCCUAUGAGAAGUUGAAGAAAAGUUAUGGAUAAUGAAAACAACGCUCCUUCGUUAUUAAAGUCGAUUGAGGACUAUGAUCCUAUAUUUUUCGAAUUCUUCGUCGACCAAAAAC